CCUUAUCACUUUUCCAGCCCAGCUAUGUGUUCUGUAUCUGUUGGACGGAGAACUGAUAAGGGC
This 63-nucleotide microRNA precursor is filed under the name Monopterus albus (swamp eel). Its description in RNAcentral is "Mal-Mir-184-P2_pre stem-loop". It matches the Rfam family "mir-184 microRNA precursor family", at positions 13 to 76 of the family's 86-position model. Lineage: Eukaryota; Metazoa; Chordata; Actinopteri; Synbranchiformes; Synbranchidae. The record is from RNAcentral.